This is a long non-coding RNA of Saccostrea cuccullata (small rock oyster), 513 nucleotides long. RefSeq lists it as uncharacterized. The transcript is spliced from 3 exons. NCBI's taxonomy places the organism in Eukaryota, Metazoa, Mollusca, Bivalvia, Ostreida, Ostreidae. The record is from RefSeq and is a predicted model, not a curated record.
AGAUGAAGUUUCUGAUUACUGAGUGGAUCAUAUCAAUUAUAUUUGGUCCAAACAUACUAUGGUCUUAACAAGAUAGGGAUACAAAGUGUAGAUACAGUGUCCAUCUUCCAGAGGCUUCAUGGCAUGCAGCAUAUAAUGUGUGUGCUUCAAGUAACAAGACACUGGUGACACUGACAUCACUUACUGAGAUGUACUAUAUAGAACUAGUCCUGGAAGAAGUUGAUGAAUUACUCGGAAAAAAAUUCAGUUUAAAAUACUCAGAAGGCCUGUGGGUUGGGGCUUUUUUGAGUUCUUCUAAUAAUGAAAGUAUGCUAGAAAACUGUGAUCAUCUUUAUUCCGAAAUCCCGGUAAAUUUAACUGGUAUAAGCCCCGAUGGGUUGUUUUGUCUUUAUUACAAUCCAGAAGAGCAGAAUCUUGUCACGGAAAACUGCACUUCAGAAAAAAUGUUUAUCUGCGAAAAAGAUGAUGAAGGUAAAUUGUGCUUUCUUUUCUAACAAAUAUAUGUCUCAAUCU